AAAGGCAUAAAUUUGAAUUGUUUUACUAUGUCUGCAGUAGCAUGAGAAGUUGAACGAAUUAGAAAAGACACACUAAUUUAUUUUUGCAAUAACUCAAGCAAGUUUUAUAAAUAUCGAUGUAUUUACAUCUUUUUUCAAGACUAUGUAGUAUCGCUCCAUGAGGAUUCAAGACGCCUGCCUCCUCCGGUAUUGACAUAAGAGUGCAAGCAAGUAUAAAGGCUGUAGUCACUGUCUAGUGGGGUCACUCCCUCCUAAACCUAGAUCAAGAGCAAGACCCAGAUGAUGGCAGCCUUACAAGUUUUUGAGGAGCUUGAUGUCCUCGAGGAUGCUGCAGGGGAAAGGGUCAGACUGCCGAGAAGGAUUGUGAAGGAUCGCUUGGAUUUAUUCCUGACUUUGACUGAAGAGGAAUUUACAUCCAGGUUCAGGAUAUCAAAGCAAAGCGCAAGGGCCUUACUUGCUGACUUACAUUUACCAGAGGCAGCUGAUGCAAGAGGAUGUCCUGUACCACCUCACCUUCAACUCCUCAUCACCUUAAGAUGGAUGGCCACUGGUGACCUGCACCAAACUAUUGGAGAUUGCCUGGAUGUCUCUCAGCAGUUUGUAAGUUCAUGCUCUUCACAUACUGUGUGUGCCAUUGCUGCUUUAUAUCAGCGGUAUGUAAAGAAUUCCUGGAAGGCAUGAGUUAGGGUCCAUCAAGACAAACUUUGAAGCAAUCUCUGGAUUCCCAGGUGUCAUUGGUGCAAUAGACUGCACACACAUCCCCAUUCUCAGUCCAGGUGGUCAGCAAGCAGAAACUUACCGAAGCAGAAAGGGCUUCUUUUCAUUAAAUGUACAAGCAGUGUGUGGUCCAGACUUAACAUUUUAUAAUAUUAUUUGUCGAUGGCCAGGAUCAGUCCACGACAGCAGAAUAUUUGCUAAUAGUUUCUGACCGUUCUAUUUCUGCCGUGGUAGACGGUCACUGUUCUUCCCCUAAAUCUAUUAACAGUGGUGUCCCACAGGGUUCUGUCCUAUCUCCCACUCUUUUUCUGUUGUUCAUUGAUGAUCUUCUUUCCAAAACGAACUGUCCUAUCCAUUCCUACGCCGAUGAUUCCACUCUGCAUUAUUCAACUUCUUUUAAUAGAAGACCCACCCUUCAGGAACUUAACGACUCAAGGCUGGAGGCUGCAGAACGCUUAGCCUCAGACCUUACUAUUAUUUCCGAUUGGGGCAAGAAGAACCUGGUGUCCUUCAACGCCUCAAAAACACAGUUUCUCCACCUAUCCACUCGACACAAUCUUCCAAACAACUAUCCCCUAUUCUUUGACAACACCCAGCUAUCACCUUCCUCAACACUAAACAUCCUCGGUCUGUCCUUAACUCAAAAUCUCAACUGGAAACUUCAUAUCUCAUCUCUUACUAAAUCAGCUUCCUCGAGGCUGAGCGUUCUGUACCG
Long non-coding RNA from Eriocheir sinensis (Chinese mitten crab), 1432 nucleotides. RefSeq lists it as uncharacterized. The transcript has 4 exons. The record is from RefSeq and is a predicted model, not a curated record. Lineage: Eukaryota; Metazoa; Arthropoda; Malacostraca; Decapoda; Varunidae.